Molecule: ribosomal RNA, 391 nt
Filed under: Chrysophyceae sp.
Lineage: Eukaryota; Chrysophyceae
Description: partial small subunit ribosomal RNA
Rfam family: Eukaryotic small subunit ribosomal RNA
Source: RNAcentral
AUUCCAGCUCCAAUAGCGUAUACUAAAGUUGUUGCAGUUAAAAAGCUCGUAGUUGAAUUUCUGGUCUCGGGCUUCGGUCUGCCUCAAACGAGGUACGCACCAGUUGUCUGAAUCCAUCCUCGGGGAGAACAUAUGUGUCAUUAAUUUGAUGUGUAUGGGAUCCUCGUCAUUUACUGUGAGCAAAAUAGAGUGUUCAAAGCAGGCUUAUGCCGUUGAAUACAUUAGCAUGGAAUAAUAAGAUAGGACCUUGGUCUAUUUUGUUGGUUUGUACUCCAAGGUAAUGAUUAAUAGGGAUAGUUGGGGGUAUUCGUAUUCAAUUGUCAGAGGUGAAAUUCUUGGAUUUAUGGAAGACGAACUACUGCGAAAGCAUUUACCAAGGAUGUUUUCAUCA